Molecule: long non-coding RNA, 591 nt
Organism: Arabidopsis lyrata subsp. lyrata
Lineage: Eukaryota; Viridiplantae; Streptophyta; Magnoliopsida; Brassicales; Brassicaceae
Exons: 3
Source: RefSeq, a predicted model, not a curated record
GAAAUCUUAUUCAUAUCCAUUCAUAUAACUGAUUAAUUAAAUCAUUCUUCUGAAUGUUGUUUCUCAUAUGGCAUAUUGUUGUGGUGGAAGUUGAAGUUUGUUACUCAUGUGCAGUGACGAUCUCAGGUAUAUUUAGGCGUAUAUAUCUGCAAUCUCCAAGAGAAGAGGACAUAGUUCUAUAGGUUUGGAGAACAUUGGCAUAUGAUCUGCAUCUUUGAUCUCCUCUUUGUUCAUCUAUUCUUUUGACAGUUUAUGGGCAUACAAUCUGCAUCUUUUGAUAAUUCGACGCUGGAAAUCUUCAGUGAAGAUCUCAGGUUUGUUUAGGCAUAUUUAUCCGCAAUCUGCAAGAGAAGAGCACAUAGUUCAAGGAGCUAGAAAAUUCGCGGUGCUGGGGAGUGAUAGUGACUGUGAUACCAUUGUAUUUUUGCAUCUGUCAAGAGUCGUCCUUGGUAGGUUCUUACAGCAUGAUUAACUGUGGUAUAUCUUAGAUAGUUCUUAGGUAUAAAGUUGAAUUUAAUUAAAUUGAAAAUCUUGUAUAAAACUACGAAACGUGUACACGUGGCACGUUAUUAGUGGGUGUUAGGUUUAAUA